This 189-nucleotide unclassified non-coding RNA is filed under the name uncultured fungus. RNAcentral describes it as "sequence contains ITS1, 5.8S rRNA gene". Lineage: Eukaryota; Fungi. The record is from RNAcentral.
ACGAGUUUUUUUCGGUUUUACCACCGAAAACUCCCACCCUUGUGUAUUUUCGCUGAAAAGCAGCUUCGGCGGGCCGUCUAGAAAACUCUAGCGAUAGAGCUUCUGGACAUCGGCUCACUGCGGAUUCGUGUCCGCCGAAGAACCAACUCUUUACAACUUGAAGUCUGAUAAAACAAAGAAAAUAAAUCA